Molecule: ribosomal RNA, 452 nt
Filed under: uncultured bacterium
Lineage: Bacteria
Description: bacterial SSU rRNA
Rfam family: Bacterial small subunit ribosomal RNA
Source: RNAcentral
UACGGAAGGCAGCAGUGGGGAAUAUUGCACAAUGGGCGCAAGCCUGAUGCAGCCAUGCCGCGUGUAUGAAGAAGGCCUUCGGGUUGUAAAGUACUUUCAGUCGUGAGGAAGGUGUUAAGGUUAAUAACCUUAGCAAUUGACGUUAGCGACAGAAGAAGCACCGGCUAACUCCGUGCCAGCAGCCGCGGUAAUACGGAGGGUGCGAGCGUUAAUCGGAAUUACUGGGCGUAAAGGGCACGCAGGCGGUUAAUAAGUUGGAUGUGAAUCCCCGGGCUUAACCUGGGAAUGGCAUUCAAGACUGGUUAGCUAGAGUCUUGUAGAGGGGGUAGAAUUCCAUGUGUAGCGGUGAAAUGCGUAGAGAUGUGGAGGAAUACCGGUGGCGAAGGCGGCCCCUGGGACAAAGACUGACGCUCAUGUGCGAAAGCGUGGGGAGCAAACGAGGAUUAGAUACC